Molecule: ribosomal RNA, 451 nt
Filed under: uncultured bacterium
Lineage: Bacteria
Description: bacterial SSU rRNA
Rfam family: Bacterial small subunit ribosomal RNA
Source: RNAcentral
UACGGAAGGCAGCAGUGGGGAAUAUUGCACAAUGGGCGCAAGCCUGAUGCAGCCAUGCCGCGUGUAUGAAGAAGGCCUUCGGGUUGUAAAGUACUUUCAGUCGUGAGGAAGGUGUUAAGGUUAAUAACCUUAGCAAUUGACGUUAGCGACAGAAGAAGCACCGGCUAACUCCGUGCCAGCAGCCGCGGUAAUACGGAGGGUGCGAGCGUUAAUCGGAAUUACUGGGCGUAAAGGGCACGCAGGCGGUUAAUUAAGUUGGAUGUGAAAUCCCCGGGCUUAACCUGGGAAUGGCAUUCAAGACUGGUUAGCUAGAGUCUUGUAGAGGGGGUAGAAUUCCAUGUGUAGCGGUGAAAUGCGUAGAGAUGUGGAGGAAUACCGGUGGCGAAGGCGGCCCCUGGACAAAGACUGACGCUCAUGUGCGAAAGCUGGGGAGCAAACAGGAUUAGAUACC